This 253-nucleotide ribosomal RNA is filed under the name uncultured bacterium. RNAcentral's name for it is "partial 16S ribosomal RNA". It matches the Rfam family "Bacterial small subunit ribosomal RNA", at positions 524 to 776 of the family's 1533-position model. The record is from RNAcentral.
UACGGAGGGUGCAAGCGUUAAUCGGAAUUACUGGGCGUAAAGCGCACGCAGGCGGUUUGUUAAGUCUGAUGUGAAAUCCCCGGGCUCAACCUGGUAACUGCAUUUGAAACUGUCAGACUAGAGUCUUGUAGAGGGGGGUAGAAUUCCAGGUGUAGCGGUGAAAUGCGUAGAGAUCUGGAGGAAUACCGGUGGCGAAGGCGGCCCCCUGGACCAAGACUGACGCUCAGGUGCGAAAGCGUGGGGAGCAAACAGG